CCCUUAGAUGUCCUGGGCCGCACGCGCGCUACACUGAGUGUCUGAGAUACGAGUCUGCCUGGUCCGGCAAGGUCUAGGUAAUCGCUAAAAGACACAUCAUGCUUGGGAUAGAUUAUUGCAAAUAUUAAUCUUGAACGAGGAAUUCCUAGUAAGCGCAAGUCAACAGCUUGCGUUGAUUACGUCCCUGCCCUUUGUACACACCGCCCGUCGCUACUACUGAUUGGAUGUUUAAGCGAGGUUCUCGAACUGCUAGCGACUUAGCUUCGGUGAGGUCGCAGUGUGGGAAGUGAACCUAGCUUUGGUGUCUAGAGGAAGUAAAAGUCUUAACA
This 329-nucleotide ribosomal RNA is filed under the name uncultured eukaryote. RNAcentral describes it as "partial 18S ribosomal RNA". It matches the Rfam family "Eukaryotic small subunit ribosomal RNA", at positions 1470 to 1796 of the family's 1831-position model. The record is from RNAcentral.